AUCAAGAUCAGAGGCUCUGCCCUCCGUGUUCACAGCGGACCUUGAUUUAAUGUCAUACAAUUAAGGCACGCGGUGAAUGCCAAGAGCGGAGCCUACGACUGCACUUG
This 107-nucleotide microRNA precursor is filed under the name Lagothrix lagotricha (brown woolly monkey). RNAcentral describes it as "microRNA lla-mir-124a precursor". Its record names the gene lla-mir-124a. The stretch from base 18 to 88 matches the Rfam family "mir-124 microRNA precursor family". Rfam says of the family: The mature ~21nt miRNAs are processed from hairpin precursor sequences represented here, in this case originating from the 3' arm. The bounds of the precursors are predicted based on conservation and base pairing and are not generally known. The record is from miRBase by way of RNAcentral. Lineage: Eukaryota; Metazoa; Chordata; Mammalia; Primates; Atelidae.